UGGGGAAUUUUGGACAAUGGGGGCAACCCUGAUCCAGCAACGCCGCGUGAGGGAUGAAGGUCUUCGGAUCGUAAACUUCUGUUGCCCGGGACGAAUAGCUUAGACCUAAUACGUCUGAGUAUGACGGUACCGGGUGAGGAAGCCCCGGCUAACUCUGUGCCAGCAGCCGCGGUAAUACAGAGGGGGCAAGCGUUGUUCGGAAUUACUGGGCGUAAAGGGCGCGUAGGCGGCCUGCUAAGUCGAACGUGAAAUCCCCGGGCUCAACCCGGGAACUGCGUCCGAUACUGGCAGGCUUGAAUUCGGGAGAGGGAUGCGGAAUUCCAGGUGUAGCGGUGAAAUGCGUAGAUAUCUGGAGGAACACCGGUGGCGAAGGCGGCAUCCUGGACCGGUAUUGACGCUGAGGCGCGAAAGCCAGGGGAGCAAACGGGAUUAGAUACCCCCGUAGUCCCUGAGCGGGCUGGCAAGGCGC
Molecule: ribosomal RNA, 469 nt
Filed under: uncultured bacterium
Lineage: Bacteria
Description: bacterial SSU rRNA
Rfam family: Bacterial small subunit ribosomal RNA
Source: RNAcentral